CGCCUCUUGCAAAAUAAAUGAAUAAGAGGUCCCGCCUGCCCUGUGACUAUAUGUUCAACGGCCGCGGUAUUUUGACCGUGCGAAGGUAGCGCAAUCACUUGUCUUUUAAAUGAAGACCUGUAUGAAUGGCAUCACGAGGGCUUAGCUGUCUCCCCCUCCCAGUCAAUGAAAUUGAUUUUCCCGUGCAGAAGCGGGAAUAAGAACAUAAGACGAGAAGACCCUAUGGAGCUUAAGACGCCAGGACAGCUCAUGUUAAACACCCCAGAACAAAGGGAAUAAACUUAGUGAAACCCUGCCCUAGUGUCUUUGGUUGGGGCGACCACGGGGAAAAACUUAACCCCCAUGCGGAAUAGGAAUACUAUUUUCCUAGACUCAAGAGCUCCCGCUCUAAUAGACAGAAUUUCUGACCAAAAGGAUCCGGCAAUGCCGAUCAACGGACCGAGUUACCCUAGGGAUAACAGCGCAAUCCUCUUUAAGAGUCCCUAUCGACAAGAGGGUUUACGACCUCGAUGUUGGAUCAGGACAUCCUAAUGGUGCAGCCGCUAUUAAGGGUUCGUUUGUUCAACGAUUAAAGUCC
RNAcentral lists this ribosomal RNA (577 nucleotides) under Acanthopagrus latus (yellowfin seabream). RNAcentral's name for it is "partial large subunit ribosomal RNA". It matches the Rfam family "Bacterial large subunit ribosomal RNA", at positions 1817 to 2596 of the family's 2925-position model. The record is from RNAcentral. Lineage: Eukaryota; Metazoa; Chordata; Actinopteri; Spariformes; Sparidae.